This 429-nucleotide ribosomal RNA is filed under the name Bacillota bacterium. RNAcentral describes it as "Firmicutes bacterium partial 16S ribosomal RNA". It matches the Rfam family "Bacterial small subunit ribosomal RNA", at positions 355 to 776 of the family's 1533-position model. The record is from RNAcentral. Lineage: Bacteria; Bacillati; Bacillota.
UGGGGAAUCUUGCGCAAUGCGCGACAGCGUGACGCAGCAACGCCGCGUGGGUGAAGAAGGCCUUCGGGUUGUAAAUCCCUUUCAGGAGGGACGAAGCUUCGGGAGUGAAUAGCUCUCCGGAGUGACGGUACCUCCACAAGAAGCCCCGGCUAACUACGUGCCAGCAGCCGCGGUAAUACGUAGGGGGUUAGCGUUGUCCGGAAUCAUUGGGCGUAAAGAGCGCGUAGGCGGCCAGAUAAGUCCGGUGUGAAAGUCAAAGGCUCAACCUUUGAAUGCCGCUGGAAACUGUCUGGCUAGAGUCCGGGAGGGGCGAGUGGAAUUCCUGUUGUAGCGGUGAAAUGCGCAGAUAUCAGGAGGAACACCAAUGGCGAAGGCAGCUCGCUGGAACGGUACUGACGCUGAGGCGCGAAGGCGUGGGGAGCGAACAGG